GGGUUAGUAGGUUGGUCCUGCCUCUGGUAUGUACUGGUCUCAAUGCUUCCUCCUUCCUGAUGAAACUUAAUGCCAUUUAUUUGGUGUUUUGGGGAAUUUGGACUGUUACUUUGAAAAAAUUAGUGUGUUUAAAGCAAGCUAACGCUUGAAUACAUUAGCAUGGAAUAAUGAAAUAGGACGUUCGAUCCUAUUUUGUUGGUUUCUAGGAUUGACGUA
RNAcentral lists this ribosomal RNA (216 nucleotides) under Campeiostachys nutans. RNAcentral describes it as "Elymus nutans partial small subunit ribosomal RNA". The stretch from base 40 to 216 matches the Rfam family "Eukaryotic small subunit ribosomal RNA", at positions 686 to 864 of the family's 1831-position model. Lineage: Eukaryota; Viridiplantae; Streptophyta; Magnoliopsida; Poales; Poaceae. The record is from RNAcentral.